Molecule: ribosomal RNA, 497 nt
Filed under: uncultured bacterium
Lineage: Bacteria
Description: partial 16S ribosomal RNA
Rfam family: Bacterial small subunit ribosomal RNA
Source: RNAcentral
GAUGAACGCUGGCGGCGUGCCUAAUACAUGCAAGUCGAGCGAACAGACGAGGAGCUUGCUCCUUUGACGUUAGCGGCGGACGGGUGAGUAACACGUGGGUAACCUACCUAUAAGACUGGGAUAACUUCGGGAAACCGGAGCUAAUACCGGAUAAUAUUUCGAACCGCAUGGUUCGAUAAUGAAAGAUGGCUCUGCUAUCACUUAUAGAUGGACCUGCGCCGUAUUAGCUAGUUGGUAAGGUAACGGCUUACCAAGGCAACGAUACGUAGCCGACCUGAGAGGGUGAUCGGCCACACUGGAACUGAGACACGGUCCAGACUCCUACGGGAGGCAGCAGUAGGGAAUCUUCCGCAAUGGGCGAAAGCCUGACGGAGCAACGCCGCGUGAGUGAUGAAGGUCUUCGGAUCGUAAAACUCUGUUAUUAGGGAAGAACAAACGUGUAAGUAACUGUGCACGUCUUGACGGUACCUAAUCAGAAAGCCACGGCUAACUACGUG